GAUGAACGCUAGCUACAGGCUUAACACAUGCAAGUCGAGGGGUAACGAGAGGAAAGCUUGCUUUCCUUGUCGACGACCGGCGCACGGGUGAGUAACGCGUAUCCAACCUGCCCCCAACUAGGGAAUAACCUUGCGAAAGUAAGACUAAUACCCUAUAAUUUCCUCAGAUGCCAUCUGACGAGGAAUAAAGAUUUAUCGGUUGUGGAUGGGGAUGCGUCUGGUUAGCUUGUUGGCGGGGUAACGGCCCACCAAGGCAACGAUCAGUAGGGGUUCUGAGAGGAAGGUCCCCCACAUUGGAACUGAGACACGGUCCAAACUCCUACGGGAGGCAGCAGUGAGGAAUAUUGGUCAAUGGGCGGAGGCCUGAACCAGCCAAGUAGCGUGCAGGAUGACGGCCCUAUGGGUUGUAAACUGCUUUUAUACAGGAAUAAAGUUAGCCACGUGUGGUUAUUUGUAGGUACUGUAUGAAUAAGGACCGGCUAAUUCCGUGCCAGCCGCCGCCGUAA
RNAcentral lists this ribosomal RNA (506 nucleotides) under uncultured bacterium. Its description in RNAcentral is "partial 16S ribosomal RNA". It matches the Rfam family "Bacterial small subunit ribosomal RNA", at positions 28 to 523 of the family's 1533-position model. The record is from RNAcentral.